Molecule: long non-coding RNA, 98 nt
Organism: Phyllostomus discolor (pale spear-nosed bat)
Lineage: Eukaryota; Metazoa; Chordata; Mammalia; Chiroptera; Phyllostomidae
Exons: 3
Source: RefSeq, a predicted model, not a curated record
AGAAUAGAAAUAUAGAUCAAUGAAGCAGAAUAGUGAGUCCAGAAAUGGACCCACACAUAAUGUGGUCAACUCACUUUGACAAAAGGUGUCAAAUCAAA